Molecule: transfer RNA, 58 nt
Filed under: Salmo salar (Atlantic salmon)
Lineage: Eukaryota; Metazoa; Chordata; Actinopteri; Salmoniformes; Salmonidae
Also listed under: 1 other name
Rfam family: tRNA
About the family: Transfer RNA (tRNA) molecules are approximately 80 nucleotides in length. Their secondary structure includes four short double-helical elements and three loops (D, anti-codon, and T loops).
Source: Rfam by way of RNAcentral
UGGCUCAGUUGGUAGAGCAUGGCACUUGUAAUGCCAGGGUUGCGGGUUCGAUUUACAC